This 200-nucleotide ribosomal RNA is filed under the name uncultured bacterium. RNAcentral's name for it is "partial 16S ribosomal RNA". It matches the Rfam family "Bacterial small subunit ribosomal RNA", at positions 28 to 224 of the family's 1533-position model. The record is from RNAcentral.
GGUGAACGCUGGCGGUAGGCCUAACACAUGCAAGUCGAACGGCAGCACAGGAGAGCUUGCUCUCUGGGUGGCGAGUGGCGGACGGGUGAGGAAUACAUCGGAAUCUACCUUGUCGUGGGGGAUAACGUAGGGAAACUUACGCUAAUACCGCAUACGACCUUCGGGUGAAAGUGGGGGACCGCAAGGCCUCACGCGAUUAG